UAUUCGGGUCAGGUUGUUCGGUU
This 23-nucleotide non-coding RNA is filed under the name Arabidopsis thaliana (thale cress). Lineage: Eukaryota; Viridiplantae; Streptophyta; Magnoliopsida; Brassicales; Brassicaceae. The record is from RNAcentral.